GUGCCUAGCUUUAGUCUUAGAAAUGAAAGAAACUAGCUCUUGGUUCUCGUUUGUUAAAGGAACCAUAGGAAAUUCUGAGGCGCGCUGACUUUGCGGCCAAGGCCCCUCCCAGCUCUAAGGGCGGAUGCCUCUAGGCUGACGGCUCUCAGACUGUUGACCAGUGACCCACUUGGAUAAAAGAUGCCAUGGUCCACCUACCCCAACCUGUCCCAAUUUCCAAUGGAGAAGGAACUGUGCGAUAACAGGCAAUGCCACCGUCCAAGCAAAUGUGAGGCAUGUACCCAUCUGCCUUUGCAACAGAGAUGUCGACGGUUGGCAUAGAAGUUUUAGGAACCCAGUGCCUCCCGUAAUCUGAAAGAGCAGCCUGAGGUUGGACACUUGAGGCAUGAAAGGUUGUCAGUGAAGAGGAAGGUGACGAUUUCACCUAAACAGGACAUUAUGAAACAUCUCAGGUCGCACCACCUCCCCUGCCUACAUUUGUGACCAAGUCUGAGAGAAGCCAUGUCAGCUGGGACUCUGCAAGCCGGGCGGCCUGUGGCAUUCCUGCUCUGCCCUUGAAUGGAAAACUCACCUGGCAUUUGAGUGUGUUGAUUGAGAUUCUGCCGGCCUCUGGCUCGUGCUCAGGAAAACCCCCUUCUCAUUACAGCCCAGCUUGGUUUCACGGAGGUGACUUUUGAAGUUUCCCGCGGGGGUGGCAGUGGAGGGGAGACAUUUGUAUGUGUUUCAAGGCGUGUUUGUUUCAAAGUGGGCUUCGAAUAAUGCCGCGGUGCAGAACUGGGCCAUUGUCAGCAGAUAAAUGCAGGGCUGACGUCUGUGGGCCUAUUAUCUGCACUGUUCUAACGACCCAGGAAGAGCGGGCUUGCUGACCAUUGUCAGGACUCACUUGACCAAAAAGCAAAGGGGAGUGGGGGUGGCGAGCCGAGCUCUCUGCUGAUCACUUCACUUUGCUGAUUGUGUGACCAGGGGGCUAGAGAAAGUUCCAUCAACUGGAGCCAUGCGGCUACUGCAGAGCGAAAACCGGCAGGGCUUCUGUUUGACCCCUGGCUCUUGAAAACCACGCCAACAAG
This 1067-nucleotide long non-coding RNA is filed under the name Equus caballus (horse). Its description in RNAcentral is "lncRNA (ENSECAG00000057359.1)". The record is from RNAcentral. Lineage: Eukaryota; Metazoa; Chordata; Mammalia; Perissodactyla; Equidae.